RNAcentral lists this ribosomal RNA (711 nucleotides) under uncultured bacterium. RNAcentral describes it as "bacterial SSU rRNA". It matches the Rfam family "Bacterial small subunit ribosomal RNA", at positions 789 to 1501 of the family's 1533-position model. The record is from RNAcentral.
GGUAGUCCACGCCGUAAACGAUGAGUGCUAGGUGUUGGAGGGUUUCCGCCCUUCAGUGCCGCAGUUAACGCAUUAAGCACUCCGCCUGGGGAGUACGACCGCAAGGUUGAACUCAAAGGAAUUGACGGGGACCCGCACAAGCGUGGAGCAUGUGGUUUAAUUCGAAGCAACGCGAAGAACCUUACCAAGUCUUGACAUCCUUUGACCACCCUAGAGAUAGGGCUUUCCCUUCGGGGACAAAGUGACAGGUGGUGCAUGGUUGUCGUCAGCUCGUGUCGUGAGAUGUUGGGUUAAGUCCCGCAACGAGCGCAACCCCUAUUAUUAGUUGCCAGCAUUCAGUUGGGCACUCUAAUGAGACUGCCGGUGACAAACCGGAGGAAGGUGGGGAUGACGUCGAAUCAGCAUGCCCCUUAUGACUUGGGCUACACACGUGCUACAAUGGAUGGUACAACGAGUCGCAAACCCGCGAGGGCAAGCAAAUCUCUUAAAGCCAUUCGCAGUUCGGAUUGCAGGCUGCAACUCGCCUGCAUGAAGCCGGAAUCGCUAGUAAUCGUGGAUCAGCACGCCACGGUGAAUACGUUCCCGGGUCUUGUACACACCGCCCGUCACACCACGAGAGUUUGUAACACCCGAAGUCGGUGAGGUAACCUUUAUGGAGCCAGCCGCCGAAGGUGGGACAGAUGAUUGGGGUGAAGUCGUAACAAGGUAACC